GAGGGAGCGCAGGAUCCUGGGCUGUGUCCCCCGGCGCCCUGGGCUCCGGGGCCUGCCGCUGGAAUCGCCCUCCCGGGCCGCGCAGCCCCCU
RNAcentral lists this microRNA precursor (91 nucleotides) under Canis lupus familiaris (dog). RNAcentral's name for it is "mir-8799 microRNA precursor family". It matches the Rfam family "mir-8799 microRNA precursor family". Lineage: Eukaryota; Metazoa; Chordata; Mammalia; Carnivora; Canidae. The record is from Rfam by way of RNAcentral.